This 251-nucleotide ribosomal RNA is filed under the name uncultured prokaryote. RNAcentral's name for it is "partial 16S rRNA". It matches the Rfam family "Bacterial small subunit ribosomal RNA", at positions 525 to 775 of the family's 1533-position model. The record is from RNAcentral.
ACGUAGGUGGCAAGCGUUAUCCGGAUUUACUGGGUGUAAAGGGCGUGUAGGCGGCUCUGCAAGUCAGAUGUGAAAUUCCCGGGCUUAACCCGGGCGCUGCAUCUGAAACUGCAGAACUUGAGUACUGGAGAGGAUAGUGGAAUUCCUAGUGUAGCGGUAAAAUGCGUAGAUAUUAGGAGGAACACCAGUGGCGAAGGCGGCUAUCUGGACAGUAACUGACGCUGAGGCGCGAAAGCGUGGGGAGCAAACAG